GCUGGGUGCUGUGGCACACGCCUGUAGUCCCAGUGACUGAGGAGGCUGAGGCAGGAGGAUUGCAAGUUCCAGGGUAGCCUCAGCAACUUGGUGAGGCCUUAAACAACUUAGUGAGACCCUGUCUCAA
RNAcentral lists this small RNA (127 nucleotides) under Marmota monax (woodchuck). Lineage: Eukaryota; Metazoa; Chordata; Mammalia; Rodentia; Sciuridae. The record is from RNAcentral.